RNAcentral lists this ribosomal RNA (578 nucleotides) under uncultured bacterium. Its description in RNAcentral is "bacterial SSU rRNA". It matches the Rfam family "Bacterial small subunit ribosomal RNA", at positions 338 to 916 of the family's 1533-position model. The record is from RNAcentral.
CCUACGGGAGGCAGCAGUGAGGAAUAUUGGUCAAUGGACGUAAGUCUGAACCAGCCAUCCCGCGUGCAGGAGGAAGGCGCUAUGCGUCGUAAACUGCUUUUCCAGGGGAAGAAAACCCGCUACGUGUAGCGGCUUGCCGGUACCCUGGGAAUAAGCAUCGGCUAACUCCGUGCCAGCAGCCGCGGUAAUACGGAGGAUGCGAGCGUUAUCCGGAUUUAUUGGGUUUAAAGGGUGCGUAGGCGGAUUAAUAAGUCAGUGGUGAAAACCUUCAGCUUAACUGGAGACUUGCCAUUGAUACUGUUAGUCUCGAGUACGGUCAAGGUAGGCGGAAUGUGUAAUGUAGCGGUGAAAUGCUUAGAUAUUACACAGAACACCGAUUGCGAAGGCAGCUUACUGGGCCAUUACUGACGCUGAGGCACGAAAGCGUGGGGAGCGAACAGGAUUAGAUACCCUGGUAGUCCACGCCGUAAACGAUGAUCACUCGCUGUUGGCGAUACACAGUCAGCGGCUAAGCGAAAGCAUUAAGUGAUCCACCUGGGGAGUACGGCCGCAAGGCUGAAACUCAAAGGAAUUGACGG